GUGAGGAAUAUUGGACAAUGGAUGGAAAUCUGAUCCAGCCAUGCCGCGUGCAGGAAGACGGCCCUAUGGGUUGUAAACUGCUUUUGUAUGGGAGCAAUAAGGGCUACGUGUAGCCUGAUGAGAGUACCAUACGAAUAAGGACCGGCUAACUCCGUGCCAGCAGCCGCGGUAAUACGGAGGGUCCGAGCGUUAUCCGGAUUUAUUGGGUUUAAAGGGUGCGUAGGCGGUUUUAUAAGUCAGCGGUGAAAUUUUCCGGCUCAACCGGGAUACUGCCGUUGAUACUGUAAGGCUAGGAUAUGGUUGCUGUGGGUGGAAUGUGUGGUGUAGCGGUGAAAUGCUUAGAGAUCACACAGAAUAUCGAUUGCGAAGGCAGCUCACAAAGCCAUUAUUGACGCUGAGGCACGAAAGUGUGGGGAUCAAACAGGAUUAGAAACCCGUGUAGUCC
Molecule: ribosomal RNA, 445 nt
Filed under: uncultured bacterium
Lineage: Bacteria
Description: partial 16S ribosomal RNA
Rfam family: Bacterial small subunit ribosomal RNA
Source: RNAcentral